Molecule: ribosomal RNA, 253 nt
Filed under: uncultured bacterium
Lineage: Bacteria
Description: partial 16S ribosomal RNA
Rfam family: Bacterial small subunit ribosomal RNA
Source: RNAcentral
UACGUAGGGGGCAAGCGUUGUCCGGCUUUCUUGGGCGUAAAGCGCGUGUAGGCGGCCAGGCAGGUCCGUUGUGAAAACUGGAGGCUCAACUUCCAGACGUCGAUGGAAACCGCCCGGCUAGAGUCCGGAAGAGGAGAGUGGAAUUCCUGGUGUAGCGGUGAAAUGCGCAGAUAUCAGGAAGAACACCAAUGGCGAAGGCAGCUCUCUGGGACGGUACUGACGCUGAGACGCGAAAGCGUGGGGAGCGAACAGG